UACGUAGGGGGCAAGCGUUAUCCGGAUUUACUGGGUGUAAAGGGAGCGUAGACGGCAUGGCAAGCCAGAUGUGAAAUACCGGGGCUCAACCCCGGGACUGCUUUUGAAACUGUAUGGCUAGAUUGCAGGAGAGGCAAGUGGAAUUCCUAGUGUAGCGGUGAAAUGCGUAGAUAUUAGGAGGAACACCAGUGGCGAAGGCGGCCUGCUGGACUGUAACUGACGUUGAGGCUCGAAAGCGUGGGGAGCAAACAGG
This 253-nucleotide ribosomal RNA is filed under the name uncultured Lachnospiraceae bacterium. Its description in RNAcentral is "partial 16S ribosomal RNA". It matches the Rfam family "Bacterial small subunit ribosomal RNA", at positions 524 to 776 of the family's 1533-position model. Lineage: Bacteria; Bacillati; Bacillota; Clostridia; Lachnospirales; Lachnospiraceae. The record is from RNAcentral.